Molecule: long non-coding RNA, 1086 nt
Organism: Aegilops tauschii subsp. strangulata
Lineage: Eukaryota; Viridiplantae; Streptophyta; Magnoliopsida; Poales; Poaceae
Source: RefSeq, a predicted model, not a curated record
AAUGUUUGUGGAGUGCAAAUUACUUUUUGGUGGAGUACAAACUUCUUAGCUUGCCUUGAAUGUUAUGGUGCAGAGGCUAGUAACAAUAAAGCUGAUUUUUUAUGCUAAGAAAAGUUAUCUAUCCAUUUGGUUGAGUUGUAUGCAGUGUUGUGUUCUCCUAACAAAAAAGGCCGGGCAUGUGAUGAUUCUGGUUUUGUUUGCAGUGUACGUGUAAUCCAGGACCAAGAUAUGACAACCUUCCAUGAUGCUCCGUGCAAGAUUUCAUUCACCCUUUUCUGCUCGAGGUAGAUAAGCAUCACUUUAUCGGAUGAUGUGUAGGCACGUAAUACUCUAAAUAAAGCCAAAUGGGCUAUCUUCGUUCAAGUUACCACCAUCCAUGUGAAGCUAGCAAGGAGUACACCGUUAGCCUGGCAAGGAGUACACCGUUAGCUUACUUUGUGUGGACAACUACACAUUAUAAGGAGUCGAGCCUGAUUGCCUAUAAAUACACAUUAAGCUGAUGACAUGACAGUUCAACAUCUCACAGUCACACAGGAGAUCUAAUAGUCCCACAGGAAGCAAGCAUCACAAGGAUAAGUUCCGUGGACAAGAAGCCGGAGGGAGGGAACACUGGUACUGGUUACCACAACCAGAAGACGGAGUGGCCAGAGUUGGUGGGGAAGUCGGUGGACGAGGCCAAGAAGGUGAUUUUGCAGGACAAGCCAGAGGCAUGGAUCGUAGUUCUGCCAGUGGGGACAAUUGUGACCAUGGAAUAUCGGAUCUACCGUGUUCACCUUUUUGUCGACAGACUCGACACCAUUGCCCAGGUCCCCAGGGCCGGCUAGCAAGCUUGAGAGCUGGCCUGCUGCUCGCGUACAUGUAUUGCAGCUUGAUUAUCUCUUCUUCGAUAUAGCAAGAUUGAGAUAUAUAGAUCAUAUACAAUAAGAGGUUGAUGCAUGGUAGGUUAAUGGAUAAUGGAAUAAGUCAGAGCGCGUAAUAUGGUUAAGGUUUGUAUGUAAGCGUGCUUCCGUUCAAUUAGUUUACACAUGUAUGAUGCCGUACCCUGUGUAAGAAUUCGUCUGAUUAACCAGUUAACUUGCCAAUUAA